CCUACGGGUGGCUGCAGUGGGGAAUCUUUCACAAUGGGCGAAAGCCUGAUGCAGCAACGCCGCGUGAGCGAUGAAGGCCUUCGGGUCGUUAAGCUCUGUCCUUAAGGAAGAUAAUGACGGUACUUGUGCAGGAAGCCCCGGCUAACUGCGUGCCGGCAGCCGCGGUAAUACGUAGGGGGCUAGCGUUAUCCGGAAUCACAGGGCGUAAAGGUUACGCAGGUGGGUUCUAAAGUCUGAGGUGAAUGGGUGCGGCUAAACCGUAGUAAGCCUUUGAAACAGGGGAACUAGAGUGAAGGAGAGGAGAGUGGAAUUCCUGGUGUAGCGGUGAAAUGCGUAGAUAUUAGGAGGAACACGAGUGGCGAAGGCGGCUCUCUGGACUGUAACUGACACGGAGGCACGAAGGCGUGGGGAGCAAACAGGAUUAGAUACCCUUGUAGUC
RNAcentral lists this ribosomal RNA (439 nucleotides) under uncultured bacterium. RNAcentral's name for it is "partial 16S ribosomal RNA". It matches the Rfam family "Bacterial small subunit ribosomal RNA", at positions 338 to 795 of the family's 1533-position model. The record is from RNAcentral.